This 982-nucleotide ribosomal RNA is filed under the name Mycolicibacterium setense. RNAcentral describes it as "bacterial SSU rRNA". It matches the Rfam family "Bacterial small subunit ribosomal RNA", at positions 67 to 1066 of the family's 1533-position model. Lineage: Bacteria; Bacillati; Actinomycetota; Actinomycetes; Mycobacteriales; Mycobacteriaceae. The record is from RNAcentral.
CGGAAAGGCCCUUCGGGGUACUCGAGUGGCGAACGGGUGAGUAACACGUGGGUGAUCUGCCCUGCACUUUGGGAUAAGCCUGGGAAACUGGGUCUAAUACCGAAUAUGACCAUGCACUUCCUGGUGUGUGGUGGAAAGCUUUUGCGGUGUGGGAUGGGCCCGCGGCCUAUCAGCUUGUUGGUGGGGUAAUGGCCUACCAAGGCGACGACGGGUAGCCGGCCUGAGAGGGUGACCGGCCACACUGGGACUGAGAUACGGCCCAGACUCCUACGGGAGGCAGCAGUGGGGAAUAUUGCACAAUGGGCGCAAGCCUGAUGCAGCGACGCCGCGUGAGGGAUGACGGCCUUCGGGUUGUAAACCUCUUUCAAUAGGGACGAAGCGCAAGUGACGGUACCUAUAGAAGAAGGACCGGCCAACUACGUGCCAGCAGCCGCGGUAAUACGUAGGGUCCGAGCGUUGUCCGGAAUUACUGGGCGUAAAGAGCUCGUAGGUGGUUUGUCGCGUUGUUCGUGAAAACUCACAGCUUAACUGUGGGCGUGCGGGCGAUACGGGCAGACUAGAGUACUGCAGGGGAGACUGGAAUUCCUGGUGUAGCGGUGGAAUGCGCAGAUAUCAGGAGGAACACCGGUGGCGAAGGCGGGUCUCUGGGCAGUAACUGACGCUGAGGAGCGAAAGCGUGGGGAGCGAACAGGAUUAGAUACCCUGGUAGUCCACGCCGUAAACGGUGGGUACUAGGUGUGGGUUUCCUUCCUUGGGAUCCGUGCCGUAGCUAACGCAUUAAGUACCCCGCCUGGGGAGUACGGCCGCAAGGCUAAAACUCAAAGGAAUUGACGGGGGCCCGCACAAGCGGCGGAGCAUGUGGAUUAAUUCGAUGCAACGCGAAGAACCUUACCUGGGUUUGACAUGCACAGGACGCCGGCAGAGAUGUCGGUUCCCUUGUGGCCUGUGUGCAGGUGGUGCAUGGCUGUCGUCAGCUCGUGUC